Long non-coding RNA from Dermacentor silvarum, 392 nucleotides. RefSeq lists it as uncharacterized. Lineage: Eukaryota; Metazoa; Arthropoda; Arachnida; Ixodida; Ixodidae. The transcript has 3 exons. The record is from RefSeq and is a predicted model, not a curated record.
CGCAGAACACUUCUGCGAGUGGUCAGCACAGAUCGCACUUUCGGAUCUCGGCAAGUAUACCUGAAGAGGCCUAAAAGAUAGCUUUGAACUAACCAAGUCACCUUCCAGCGCGCUGUUGCUUAGGCCUCGCCUGCAGAAACCGUUCCGCAUACGUCGGUCGAUUCGAGCAGUCUCCGAAAUGAUGGCAAACCUGUUGACGCCAGCCGUGACGUCGGUCGCGCAGCUUCACACCGUGAUGAAAGCAAGAAUGCAACCCGGUGUCCACUUCAUGUUCUCCACACCCAUAGGCGUCCUAAAACAAAAGCUGAACUUUGAGUUCCCCAGGGGGUUUGUCAAGCACACCGUUUUGACCAUAGUCUUCCAAGCCGAAUCCAGCAAGGCGUAAGCAUGCA